GGGCUGGGCGUGCUAUACAUGCAAGUCGAGCGAAUGACGAGAAGCUUGCUUCUCUGAUUUAGCGGCGGACGGGUGAGUAACACGUGGGCAACCUGCCCUACAGAUUGGGAUAACUCAGGGAAACCUGGGCUAAUACCGAAUAAUCCUUCGAAUCACAUGUUUUGAAGUUGAAAGGCGCUUCGGCGUCACUGUAGGAUGGGCCCGCGGUGCAUUAGCUAGUUGGUGGGGUAACGGCCUACCAAGGCAACGAUGCAUAGCCGACCUGAGAGGGUGAUCGGCCACAUUGGGACUGAGACACGGCCCAAACUCCUACGGGAGGCAGCAGUAGGGAAUCUUCCACAAUGGACGAAAGUCUGAUGGAGCAACGCCGCGUGAGUGAUGAAGGUUUUCGGAUCGUAAAACUCUGUUGUAAGGGAAGAACAAGUACGUUAGGAAAUGAACGUACCUUGACGGUACCUUAUUAGAAAGCCACGGCUAACUACGUGCCAGCAGCCGCGGUAAUACGUAGGUGGCAAGCGUUGUCCGGAUUUAUUGGGCGUAAAGCGCGCGCAGGUGGUUUCUUAAGUCUGAUGUGAAAGCCCACGGCUCAACCGUGGAGGGUCAUUGGAAACUGGGGAACUUGAGUGCAGAAGAGGAUAGUGGAAUUCCAAGUGUAGCGGUGAAAUGCGUAGAGAUUUGGAGGAACACCAGUGGCGAAGGCGACUGUCUGGUCUGUAACUGACACUGAGGCGCGAAAGCGUGGGGAGCAAACAGGAUUAGAUACCCUGGUAGUCCACGCCGUAAACGAUGAGUGCUAAGUGUUAGGGGGUUUCCGCCCCUUAGUGCUGCAGCUAACGCAUUAAGCACUCCGCCUGGGGAGUACGACCGCAAGGUUGAAACUCAAAGGAAUUGACGGGGGCCCGCACAAGCGGUGGAGCAUGUGGUUAAUUCGAAGCACGCGAGAACCUUACCAGGUCUUGACUCCCAUGACCGUCUAGAAAAGGAUUUCCUUCGGGACUUGGUGACGGGGGUGAUGUUGCCUCACUCGG
Molecule: ribosomal RNA, 1028 nt
Filed under: Kurthia gibsonii
Lineage: Bacteria; Bacillati; Bacillota; Bacilli; Caryophanales; Caryophanaceae
Description: bacterial SSU rRNA
Rfam family: Bacterial small subunit ribosomal RNA
Source: RNAcentral